CGGCCAAGGGCAUAAGAGUAUUUUUGCUCAAUCACAAAAAAAUUAUCAUCCUGUUCUCUUAAUCUUUUAUUUUGUUCCAACAAGGCAACAACAGAGAGACAUGAAUCUCUUCUCUAGAUUCUCAAGGAUUGCUCUUUAAGUUCUCAUCUUCCGUUGGCCCUUUUCUCUGGUUGCUUCUCCAUUUUGCUUCACCAGUUCUUCUUUUUCUGUGAAGCCACCCUCAACCAAGAACUGGUGCAAGUCCAAGAAGUAGGCCUUAAUGAAGUACUCCAAGAAAUAUGAGACUGAUGAAGGUAAAAAAGAUAUCUAGGCACUGUGGGAGAAACUGAAGAAGUAUGCUUAUGUCACCCAUGUGUUACCUUACACUCCGUGAAUAUGUUGAUCUUAUAGGGAUCGAGAACGUGAACAAGUUAGCAAGAUAUCACCUACAGGACAUUUAGGUUGGACCCGUGCUGAAUAUUUGGUUGAAGUAUAGCGUUGAGUACUACUAGUCUAUGCCAAAGUGCAGAGAAAAUCUAAUAGCACAUUCUAUGAUAUGUGGUUCAUAUAUGACUAUAUAAUGUUAGAUUCAUGCGUGGUCUUAUGAACUUACUGUAACAAAAAAAAAUUACCCAAUUAUGCACAUAUUGUACAUAGACUCUUGAUUAUUAGUAUCUAUUUAAACUUCAGUGCAACUUCGUGUUUGGCCUUAUU
Lycium barbarum (goji berry) is the source of this 693-nucleotide long non-coding RNA. RefSeq lists it as uncharacterized. The transcript is spliced from 4 exons. The record is from RefSeq and is a predicted model, not a curated record. NCBI's taxonomy places the organism in Eukaryota, Viridiplantae, Streptophyta, Magnoliopsida, Solanales, Solanaceae.